AGCGAACGCUGGCGGCAGGCCUAACACAUGCAAGUCGAACGAACCUUUCGGGGUUAGUGGCGGACGGGUGAGUAACACGUGGGAACGUGCCUUUAGGUUCGGAAUAACUCAGGGAAACUUGUGCUAAUACCGAAUGUGCCCUUCGGGGGAAAGAUUAAUCGCCUUUAGAGCGGCCCGCGUCUGAUUAGCUAGUUGGUUGAGGUAAUGGCUCACCAAGGCGACGAUCAGUAGCUGGUCUGAGAGGAUGAUCAGCCACAUUGGGACUGAGACACGGCCCAAACUCCUACGGGAGGCAGCAGUGGGGAAUCUUGCGAAAUGGGCGAAAGCCUGAAGCAGCCAUGCCGCGUGAAUGAUGAAGGUCUUAGGAUUGUAAAAUUCUUUAACCGGGGACGAUAAUGACGGUACCCGGAGAAGAAGCCCCGGCUAACUUCGUG
Molecule: ribosomal RNA, 434 nt
Filed under: uncultured bacterium
Lineage: Bacteria
Description: partial 16S ribosomal RNA
Rfam family: Bacterial small subunit ribosomal RNA
Source: RNAcentral